UCCUCAGUAGCUCAGCAGGUUAGAGCAUCUGACUGUUAAUCAGAGGGUCGCUGGUUCGAGCCCAGCCUGAGGAG
Molecule: transfer RNA, 74 nt
Filed under: Parapedobacter luteus
Lineage: Bacteria; Pseudomonadati; Bacteroidota; Sphingobacteriia; Sphingobacteriales; Sphingobacteriaceae
Also listed under: 8 other names
Description: Parapedobacter sp. 4M29 tRNA
Rfam family: tRNA
About the family: Transfer RNA (tRNA) molecules are approximately 80 nucleotides in length.
Source: Rfam by way of RNAcentral